GCAGAUGUAGUUUAACUUAAAACGUUAGAUUGUGAUUCUAAAAAUGGACGUUGAAACCCCCCUAUUUGCC
RNAcentral lists this transfer RNA (70 nucleotides) under Chascanopsetta lugubris (pelican flounder). Its description in RNAcentral is "tRNA-His". It matches the Rfam family "tRNA". From Rfam's summary of the family: Transfer RNA (tRNA) molecules are approximately 80 nucleotides in length. Their secondary structure includes four short double-helical elements and three loops (D, anti-codon, and T loops). Lineage: Eukaryota; Metazoa; Chordata; Actinopteri; Pleuronectiformes; Bothidae. The record is from RNAcentral.